AGAGUUUGAUCCUGGCUCAGAACGAACGCUGGCGGCAGGCUUAACACAUGCAAGUCGAACGCAUCGCAAGAUGAGUGGCAGACGGGUGAGUAACGCGUGGGAACCUUCCUUGUGGUAAGGAAUAACUUAGGGAAACUUAAGCUAAUACCUUAUACCUCCUCCGGGAGAAAGAUUUAUCGCCAUAAGAUGGGCCCGCGUUG
Molecule: ribosomal RNA, 200 nt
Filed under: uncultured bacterium
Lineage: Bacteria
Description: partial 16S ribosomal RNA
Rfam family: Bacterial small subunit ribosomal RNA
Source: RNAcentral